GCUUGCUUCAUGAUUUACAUUUGAGUGAGUGGCGAACUGGUGAGUAACACGUGGGAAACCUGCCCAGAAGCGGGGGAUAACACCUGGAAACAGAUGCUAAUACCGCAUAACAACUUGGACCGCAUGGUCCGAGCUUGAAAGAUGGCUUCGGCUAUCACUUUUGGAUGGUCCCGCGGCGUAUUAGCUAGAUGGUGGGGUAACGGCUCACCAUGGCAAUGAUACGUAGCCGACCUGAGAGGGUAAUCGGCCACAUUGGGACUGAGACACGGCCCAAACUCCUACGGGAGGCAGCAGUAGGGAAUCUUCCACAAUGGACGAAAGUCUGAUGGAGCAACGCCGCGUGAGUGAAGAAGGGUUUCGGCUCGUAAAACUCUGUUGUUAAAGAAGAACAUAUCUGAGAGUAACUGUUCAGGUAUUGACGGUAUUUAACCAGAAAGCCACGGCUAACUACGUGCCAGCAGCCGCGGUAAUACGUAGGUGGCAAGCGUUGUCCGGAUUUAUUGGGCGUAAAGCGAGCGCAGGCGGUUUUUUAAGUCUGAUGUGAAAGCCUUCGGCUCAACCGAAGAAGUGCAUCGGAAACUGGGAAACUUGAGUGCAGAAGAGGACAGUGGAACUCCAUGUGUAGCGGUGAAAUGCGUAGAUAUAUGGAAGAACACCAGUGGCGAAGGCGGCUGUCUGGUCUGUAACUGACGCUGAGGCUCGAAAGUAUGGGUAGCAAACAGGAUUAGAUACCCUGGUAGUCCAUACCGUAAACGAUGAAUGCUAAGUGUUGGAGGGUUUCCGCCCUUCAGUGCUGCAGCUAACGCAUUAAGCAUUCCGCCUGGGGAGUACGGCCGCAAGGCUGAAACUCAAAGGAAUUGACGGGGGCCCGCACAAGCGGUGGAGCAUGUGGUUUAAUUCGAAGCUACGCGAAGAACCUUACCAGGUCUUGACAUACUAUGCAAAUCUAAGAGAUUAGAC
RNAcentral lists this ribosomal RNA (960 nucleotides) under Lactiplantibacillus plantarum. RNAcentral's name for it is "bacterial SSU rRNA". It matches the Rfam family "Bacterial small subunit ribosomal RNA", at positions 57 to 1012 of the family's 1533-position model. Lineage: Bacteria; Bacillati; Bacillota; Bacilli; Lactobacillales; Lactobacillaceae. The record is from RNAcentral.